This 279-nucleotide long non-coding RNA is filed under the name Brassica napus (rape). RNAcentral describes it as "long non-coding RNA (BNAP_LNC007557)". Lineage: Eukaryota; Viridiplantae; Streptophyta; Magnoliopsida; Brassicales; Brassicaceae. The record is from RNAcentral.
AUGAUUGAAUAUCCUUUGACAUCGAGAAAAAUGUUACAAUAUCACAAUUUGUGUUUACUAUAUUUACAAAUCCAGUUAUAUAUUUUUGAUAUGAUUUUGAAUGGGAAAAUUUUACUUUUACACUUUGUUGGAUACCACUUUUCAACUUUACCAUCAGUCUAAGGACAUUUUCAGAAAUACACACUUUCAUUAAUGAGCAAAAGACAAUAACACCCUUACCUUAUCUUCUUCUCCACUAUUGGUUUCUCUCCCUGUCCUCGAGUCACCGUCAUCUCUCUC